GAUGAACGCUGGCGGCGUGCCUAAUACAUGCAAGUCGAGCGAACAGACGAGGAGCUUGCUCCUCUGACGUUAGCGGCGGACGGGUGAGUAACACGUGGAUAACCUACCUAUAAGACUGGGAUAACUUCGGGAAACCGGAGCUAAUACCGGAUAAUAUAUUGAACCGCAUGGUUCAAUAGUGAAAGACGGUUUUGCUGUUACUUAUAGAUGGAUCCGCGCCGCAUUAGCUAGGUGGUAAGGUAACGGCUUACCAAGGCAACGAUGCGUAGCCGACCUGAGAGGGUGAUCGGCCACACUGGAACUGAGACACGGUCCAGACUCCUACGGGAGGCAGCAGUAGGGAAUCUGCCGCAAUGGGCGAAAGCUUGACGGAGCAACGCCGCGUGAGUGAUGAAGGUCUUCGGAUCGGAAAACUCUGUUAUUAGGGAAGAACAAAUGUGUAAGUAACUAUGCACGUCUUGACGGUACCUAAUCAGAAAGCCACGGCUAACUACGUG
RNAcentral lists this ribosomal RNA (497 nucleotides) under uncultured bacterium. RNAcentral describes it as "partial 16S ribosomal RNA". It matches the Rfam family "Bacterial small subunit ribosomal RNA", at positions 28 to 507 of the family's 1533-position model. The record is from RNAcentral.